UACGGGGGGGGCAAGCGUUGUUCGGAAUUACUGGGCGUAAAGGGCUCGUAGGCGGCCAAGUAAGUCGGACGUGAAAUCCCCAGGCUCAACCUGGGAACUGCGUCCGAUACUGGAUGGCUUGAAUCCGGGAGAGGGGUGCAGAAUUCCAGGUGUAGCGGUGAAAUGCGUAGAUAUCUGGAGGAAUACCGGUGGCGAAGGCGGCAUCCUGGACCGGCAUUGACGCUGAGGAGCGAAAGCCAGGGGAGCAAACGGG
Molecule: ribosomal RNA, 253 nt
Filed under: uncultured bacterium
Lineage: Bacteria
Description: partial 16S ribosomal RNA
Rfam family: Bacterial small subunit ribosomal RNA
Source: RNAcentral